RNAcentral lists this ribosomal RNA (468 nucleotides) under uncultured bacterium. RNAcentral describes it as "partial 16S ribosomal RNA". It matches the Rfam family "Bacterial small subunit ribosomal RNA", at positions 28 to 507 of the family's 1533-position model. The record is from RNAcentral.
GACGAACGCUGGCGGCGUGCUUAACACAUGCAAGUCGAACGGAAAGGCCCUGCUUUUGUGGGGUGUUCGAGUGGCGAACGGGUGAGUAACACGUGAGUAACCUGCCCUUGACUUUGGGAUAACUUCAGGAAACUGGGACUAAUACCGGAUAGGAGCUCCUGCUGCAUGGUGGGGGUUGGAAAGUUUCGGCGGUUGGGGAUGGACUCGCGGCUUAUCAGCUUGUUGGUGGGGUAGUGGCUUACCAAGGCUUUGACGGGUAGCCGGCCUGAGAGGGUGACCGGCCACAUUGGGACUGAGAUACGGCCCAGACUCCUACGGGAGGCAGCAGUGGGGAAUAUUGCACAAUGGGCGGAAGCCUGAUGCAGCAACGCCGCGUGCGGGAUGACGGCCUUCGGGUUGUAAACCGCUUUCGCCUGUGACGAAGCGUGAGUGACGGUAAUGGGUAAAGAAGCACCGGCUAACUACGUG